UACAGAGGUGGCAAGCGUUGUUCGGAAUUACUGGGCGUAAAGCGUGCGCAGGCGGUUUUGUAAGCCAGAUGUGAAAGCCCCGGGCUUAACCUGGGAAUGGCAUUUGGGACUGCAAGGCUUGAGUGCGGCAGAGGAGACUGGAAUUCCUGGUGUAGCAGUGAAAUGCGUAGAUAUCAGGAGGAAUACCGAUGGCGAAGGCAGGUCUCUGGGCUGACACUGACGCUGAUGCGCGAAAGCCAGGGGAGCGAACGGG
Molecule: ribosomal RNA, 253 nt
Filed under: uncultured bacterium
Lineage: Bacteria
Description: partial 16S ribosomal RNA
Rfam family: Bacterial small subunit ribosomal RNA
Source: RNAcentral